Molecule: unclassified non-coding RNA, 2027 nt
Filed under: Sipha flava (yellow sugarcane aphid)
Lineage: Eukaryota; Metazoa; Arthropoda; Insecta; Hemiptera; Aphididae
Description: glutathione S-transferase-like, transcript variant X2
Source: RNAcentral
UAUAUAAAAUAAUUUAUUUUAAUACACAAGUAUUUAUUUUCAUUUAUUAAAAACAAAAAACUUAAAAUAUUACGACUCAAUUAAUUAACUUCCAGAACCAUUUUAAUUCAUAACAAUUUAUAUAUAUAUUAAUUUCUAUAAGCAUUUUGUUAACUCAAUUAAUAAAACACAAAAUUAUUUAUUGGAUUGUAUUAUAUAACGCAGACCUAGCGGCAGUCUUUAUCAUAAAAGCUAUCAACGGCCGCUUUUCUGACUAAUCGUCAACGCGAAACCCGGUUUUCCAUCCAUCCAUCCAUCAUUGGAGUGGGGCCUGGAACGGUCACGACGACGUCCGACACACACCACCAUCAAAACUGUGGCAUUGGCAAACUGGAGAGGAUAUAAUUUGACGAAGCGGGUGAAGUUAUCAACAAUUACAAAGAUGUAUGAAAAUUGAAAAAUACCAGUGGGAAGAGGACCGUAGAAGUCCACUAACAAUUUAUCGAAAGGUUGAGAAGAGAGAAUAGAUUGCAUAGUACCCGCAAUGCAGGUGGUCUUUGAUUUACACUUCUGACACAACUCGCACGCUUGUACUAUACAACGGAUAAUUUUAUUGAAAGCGGGAAAGUAACAAAUAUUUUUUAUAGAUAGUAUAUAUUAGUAAUACUAAUAUAGUUUAAUUCCUAAUGCCUCUUUCCAAAAUAGCCUAUGUUCAAGAGUUUUGAGGACUAUAAAAUGUGUAUUUGACGCUGUAUGAGGCACACGGACACAACAGGAGAAAUUGUUGAAUAUCAUACAUAUUAUUUUUAUACAUAUAAUAUUUUUGUGUCGUUAUACCAUGUUGUUACCGAGUCAAAAGAAAAUCGAUUGGCCCAACGAUAACAACUAUACAGUAGAAACUCGAUCGACCGUCUCUCAGUUAUCCGACAUUGCUAUCGUUAAAUAUAAAUAAUUUGGUGUUGGUUUCAAUCAUAUAUGCUAGUUAAAUAAUAAAUAAUGAUAAAAAAACAACUAGGUGAGCCUGGCGCUCACUCAACAUCAAUGGCAGGACGUUACAUAACGAUACCAAAGACAAAUGAAUGAGACAAUUGAGAUUAACUCGUUGCGGCGAUUAUCAAGUGUGUACAAUUUUUUUCUAAUAUCCAACAUAUGAAAUAAACGUGCCGUGAACAAACAAAUUGAAUUAUUUUUAAUUAAAUUUAAUCAGUGAUUGACGAGUAACUCUUACAUAAAAUACGAAAUGUUGCAGCUGAAAAAGCUCGAGCGUCAAAAAAACAAAAGAAAAUCACAGAUUAUUUUGUUUAAAAUUGUUAGAUUUAAUUUAGUAGUAUAGUAGUAUGGUAUUUAAUAAGUAGUAUAUCCAUAGUCCCGGUAUCGAUAGUGAAGGUUGAUCGAGUUUCUACUGUAUUAGAUGACUGAUCAAAAUUACUAAAAUGACCAAAUCAUUCGAUCGAAUCUAACCUAACCUAACUAGACUGUCCAGAUUCAAAUAAUUCAAAUUAUUCAAACGACUGAAAAUUUUCAUCUCUAAUCUGACCGUACUCCGUCACACGUGGACUGCAACCUCAAUAUUCAACUGUUUUCGUUUUCGUAGUAACCAUAUUACAUAAACAAUAUAUCAUCAUGUCAUCGUAUAAACUAACAUACUUCAACGUAACUGGAUUGGGCGAACCUAUUAGAUUCUUGCUGUCCUACUUGAACAUUGAUUUCGAAGAUGUUCGUUUUGAACUUGAACAAUGGCCAUCGAUCAAACGUAGUAAGUAACCAUAAAUACCAAUUUGUAAUGCUAUUUUCAUUAUACUAUUAUGUAUUCAAGAUAUAAAUAACGCUUAUUUUUCUACUGUCUUGAAAUAUGUAUUAUUACCCUGGAAUAAAGAACCAUAGAUACCUUACUAUGAAUAUUUGUAAUUAGGGCUCGUAAGUUGUUGCAUUUGCAUUUUUUUUUUUUUUUUUGGACUAUUAGAUUUAUUACUAGGUAAGCUAGAAAUUCAUUCCAUGACACUACGAAAAAAUAUCAAAUAUUAAUAGUGCUUAUUUUGGUAUAUUCA